Molecule: transfer RNA, 63 nt
Filed under: Scraptia sp. SCR03
Lineage: Eukaryota; Metazoa; Arthropoda; Insecta; Coleoptera; Scraptiidae
Description: tRNA-Leu
Source: RNAcentral
UCUAUUAUGGCAGAUUAGUGCAAUGGAUUUAAACCCCAUACAUAAAUUUAAAUUUUUUUAGAA